RNAcentral lists this ribosomal RNA (526 nucleotides) under uncultured marine eukaryote. Its description in RNAcentral is "bacterial SSU rRNA". It matches the Rfam family "Eukaryotic small subunit ribosomal RNA", at positions 635 to 1171 of the family's 1831-position model. The record is from RNAcentral.
UGGAUUUUGCAGGAGGGCGCACGACCGGGCUUUGCUCAGGCCGCGCGCCUACCUGUUUUUUGUCGGGGACUACGCCACUCUUAACUGGGGGGCGCUAGGACGCGGCUCGUUUACUUUGAAAAAAUUAGAGUGUUCAAAGCAGGCCUUUGCUUGAAUACAUCAGCAUGGAAUAAUGGAAUAGGACUUCGGUUCUAUUUUGUUGGUCUCUGGAACCGAAGUAAUGAUUAAUAGGGAUAGUUGGGGGCGUUUAUAUUUCCAUGUCAGAGGUGAAAUUCUUGGAUUUUGGAAAGAUAAACUUCUGCGAAAGCAUUCGCCAAGGAUGUUUUCAUUAAUCAAGAACGAAAGUUAGGGGAUCGAAGACGAUCAGAUACCGUCGUAGUCUUAACCAUAAACUAUGCCGACUAGGGAUCAGUGGACGUUAUUUUAUGACUCCAUUGGCACCUUGUGAGAAAUCAAAGUUUUUGGGUUCCGGGGGGAGUAUGGUCGCAAGGCUGAAACUUAAAGGAAUUGACGGAAGGGCACCACC